CCUACGGGCGGCAGCAGUGAGGAAUAUUGGUCAAUGGUCGAGAGGCUGAACCAGCCAAGUCGCGUGAGGGAAGACGGCCCUACGGGUUGUAAACCUCUUUUGUCGGGGAGCAAAACGCGUCACGUGUGACUUUUUGUAUGUACCCCAUGAAUAAGCACCGGCUAAUUCCGUGCCAGCAGCCGCGGUAAUACGGAGGAUCCGAGCGUUAUCCGGAUUUAUUGGGUUUAAAGGGUGCGCAGGCGGAGGUGCAAGUCAGCGGUAAAAUUGCGGGGCUCAACCCUGUACUGCCGUGGAAACUGCAGGGCUUGAGUGCGCGGAAAGUAUGCGGAAUGCGUGGUGUAGCGAUGAAAUGCAUAGAUAUCACGAAGAACUCCGAUUGCGAAGGCAGCAUACGGGAGCGCAACUGACGCUCAUGCACGAAGGCGUGGGUAUCGAACAGGAUUAGAUACCCGAGUAGUC
Molecule: ribosomal RNA, 459 nt
Filed under: uncultured bacterium
Lineage: Bacteria
Description: partial 16S ribosomal RNA
Rfam family: Bacterial small subunit ribosomal RNA
Source: RNAcentral